UACGUAGGUGACCAGCGUUGUCCGGAUUUACUGGGCGUAAAGAGCGCGCAGGCGGUCGUUCAAGUCGCGUGUGAAAGCCCCCGGCUCAACUGGGGAGGGUCACGCGAUACUGAUCGACUCGAAGGCAGGAGAGGGUAGUGGAAUUCCCGGUGUAGUGGUGAAAUGCGUAGAGAUCAGCAGGAACACCCGUGGCGAAGGCGGCCCCCUGGGCCGUACCUGACGCUGAGGCGCGAAGGCUAGGGGAGCGAACGGG
This 253-nucleotide ribosomal RNA is filed under the name uncultured bacterium. RNAcentral describes it as "partial 16S ribosomal RNA". It matches the Rfam family "Bacterial small subunit ribosomal RNA", at positions 524 to 776 of the family's 1533-position model. The record is from RNAcentral.